This 496-nucleotide ribosomal RNA is filed under the name uncultured bacterium. RNAcentral describes it as "partial 16S ribosomal RNA". It matches the Rfam family "Bacterial small subunit ribosomal RNA", at positions 29 to 507 of the family's 1533-position model. The record is from RNAcentral.
AUGAACGCUGGCGGCGUGCCUAAUACAUGCAAGUCGAGCGAACAGACGAGGAGCUUGCUCCUCUGACGUUAGCGGCGGACGGGUGAGUAACACGUGGAUAACCUACCUAUAAGACUGGGAUAACUUCGUGAAACCGGAGCUAAUACCGGAUAAUAUAUUGAACCGCAUGGUUCAAUAGUGAAAGACGGUUUUGCUGUCACUUAUAGAUGGAUCCGCGCCGCAUUAGCUAGUUGGUAAGGUAACGGCUUACCAAGGCAACGAUGCGUAGCCGACCUGAGAGGGUGAUCGGCCACACUGGAACUGAGACACGGUCCAGACUCCUACGGGAGGCAGCAGUAGGGAAUCUUCCGCAAUGGGCGAAAGCCUGACGGAGCAACGCCGCGUGAGUGAUGAAGGUCUUCGGAUCGUAAAACUCUGUUAUUAGGGAAGAACAAAUGUGUAAGUAACUAUGCACGUCUUGACGGUACCUAAUCAGAAAGCCACGGCUAACUACGUG